UUCAUUUUCCUUCAUCAUUUUUGCUAGUGCUCUUAAGUCAUCUCAUUAUUCACUUCCCAUGUAUUGUUUGGAAUCCCCAUUUCUUUGGUACUUUAUUCCACAAUUUUCUUUUUCAUUUUUUUUUCUUUAUAUAUGGAGGGGUUCCCUUUUUCUCAACACCACAGGUUAAGGGAGACUUUUCUUGCACUUCUUGACCUUCCCUUUUCUUUUCAUUUCACUCCACCCCCAAGUUAGGCUUUUGGUCUAAGUUGGCUAUUCAAUUAACCACAACUCAGAAGGAUUAUAGGUAGUGGAUAAAGAAAGGUUUAGUGUUCAUCAAGUUUCUUCCAAAGAGAGGUCAGGCUCAAG
Molecule: long non-coding RNA, 348 nt
Filed under: Solanum tuberosum (potato)
Lineage: Eukaryota; Viridiplantae; Streptophyta; Magnoliopsida; Solanales; Solanaceae
Description: long non-coding RNA (STUB_LNC004750)
Source: RNAcentral